UGAUAGAAUAAUUUUUUGUUACACAUGUGGCUGAAAGUCGGUGUAUGUUAAAAAUAAUAACCUGCAGGCUAAUCUUAAUGAGUUGUGAAUCAGCAACAGGUUAAUUAGUUUUGUUUUUCUGCUGUUUUUUGCACGUGACUAAAUUCAAUCAGCACGAAUUACUUUUGCUAUCCAGCUCCGUUAUCUUUGCUCAAAUGAGUCCAGUGUGGAAGAUUAUAGGUGUUUUGGUUAUAAAUGUGAAACUCGAACGUCCACAAAGAAGCUGUUUUUCCGCUAUGCGUGCAUUUAAUUUUCAAUAAAUAGGUGCUGAAAGCCGCUGUGAUCGCCGACUGUUUCCCUCUUCUUCCUCUGGAGAGGUGGAGGCUGUUUGGUUGGAGAUAUGGGUCGGAAGUACCGUAGUUUAUGUAUGCUAAUAGGGGAGUUGGGGGUUGUAGCUAGAUAUUUACGUUCAGUGGGAGACGCCCUUCAUUCACCCACAUGGUUACCAACGGGUCGUCUUCGCGCCACUUUCCUAAGCUCGCUAUCAUUUUUAAGCAGUGUAACUGGGCUAUAAAUUGACCCGCAAUCGGCUCGGAUUUCACUUCACGUCUCGUUGUGUCCGCCGUUUGAAAAGUUUGCGGGAUAGUUGUGUAUUUAUUCGUCUCUUUUGUCGGUGAGAGACUACACGGCAGCCCAAGCAAGUGAGCGAAGAUGGUGGAUUUCGGCUGAUUAACCGACCUUCCCCGGAGGUGCAGGACUCCCCCUAAUCAAAGUUGCCUCGUGGAGCAGCAUGGCUGGCCUUCCAUGUGAUGCUGUAAUGGUCUGUGUAUUGCCAAAGUGCUUACAGUGCAGGUAGUACUAUGGAAUACCUACUGCAGUGGAGGCACUUACAGCAAUACCCUGACACUGAUGUGCACAGUUUUCUGAUGUUUCAUGUCUCUUUUUUUUUUCCUUUGAAGUACUGUCUUUGUGCUAAGGUGCAUCUAGUGCAGAUAGUGAAAUAGACUAGCACCUACUGCCCUAAGUGCUCCUUCUGGCAUAAGGGGCUGUGAUAAGCGCCACCAGACAAUUUUUUUUUUUUUUUUCUUUUUU
This is a long non-coding RNA of Haplochromis burtoni (Burton's mouthbrooder), 1071 nucleotides long. RefSeq lists it as uncharacterized. The record is from RefSeq and is a predicted model, not a curated record. The transcript has 2 exons. NCBI's taxonomy places the organism in Eukaryota, Metazoa, Chordata, Actinopteri, Cichliformes, Cichlidae.